CACAAUUAACAACACACUCCUGGCGUCCCGAAAUUACAGGUAUUUUGUUCAUUUGCAUCUCUAUUUUGUUAUCCCUAAGUAACCCUCGACAAUCGACACAAUCUCUCCAAUCUUAGGGUUUGACAAUCAACGAGAAAAAUUAUUGAUUCUCCACCUCUAGGGUUGCGCUUUGUAGAUCCUUGCAGUUCGUUCGGGUCUCAAGAUGUUUUGGCGUAUGGCGGGUUUGUCCACUGUGUCUCCGGUGAGUAAUUUGAUUGUCAGUGGCGUAUAUUUUUGAAUUACUAUUUAGUUAAAUCCAAUUCUUCUUUCUGUUUUCAGUAUUGAAACGAAAAUUUUGGAAUUCUUCUGUUAGUAUUUGGUUCCCGAGAAAUGUGAAAAUUAGGAGGAUGUGGCAUUUUGAAUACUAUGAUUUGGCAUGAUAGUCGAGUGGCUUUUGUUUAUCAAUUUUUUUUUGGUUUUUAGGUCUGCUUUUUAGUUUGGUAAAUGUACUACUGGUAAUGUGAGCUUUCUUAGCUCUUGAGAUUCUUGGAUUUCUUUUGGUUAUGUAGUUGGUUUAUUGUUUAUGUAUGCAUAUCAACUCAACUUUUGAAGAAUAAGAACUCAGGAGAUAUUGGUAAAGAAAUUUAUUAACAAAUUUGUUAUAUCACUCUAGUGGUUGUUUAGUGAAUAGAACUAAGAAGUUAUAGUAUCUAGAAUGGAACCCACCACUGUAGUAGUCACCACCAUCACCACCACCACAGCCGCCGCCGACAUAUGUGCACACUAUUUGAUAGCUUAACUAUUUUGGGUACACUAUUUGAUAGCUUAACUAUUUUGGGUACCUAGACUAAAUUUAUUCAGUAUUAGUUUCGCUAUUUCAUUAAAAUGGACAUGAAUUCAUAUCUGUCAUGUAAGUGCUUUAGUCUUUCAUGAUUAUUGUGCACACUAUUUGAUAACUUAACUAUUUUGGGUACCUAAACUAAAUUUGUUCAAUAUUAGUUUUGCUAUUUCAUUAAAAUUGACAUGAAUUCUUAUCUGUCAUGUAAGUGCUUUAGUCUUUCAUGAUUAUUAUGCAUUUUUUUUAAAACAGGAAGGGUUUCCCCUUUCUAGUGCAUUUUUUCAUGAUAUAUAGAGCUCUAAUUUGAAAACAGGAAGGGCUAAGAAAAAUAAGGCAAAGAUUUAACUAUAUAUAAGAGUAUUCACUACUGAUAAUUCAGCUAUUUUACUUCAUGUCCCACCCCUUAACUGACUUCCCAAGGCUUUAACACAGUAAGAAAGAAAAAGAGAGCCAACUGAGAGUGAUAUUAGCAGAGUUCGGCUAGAGGGGGAAAAGGAAUUGAGCAGCUCAACCCACUUGUCACCUUCGAAUUAACAAGGAAAGCCAAUUCUGGCCCCCAAUCCUUUUUCCAGUCGUUCCUAUGUCUCUAAUUGGUAGCAACUGAACUGUUAGUGACUAUGUAACAUUAAGACUUAACCACUAUUUUAAAAACCUUGUAUACUAGAUUAGAGGCUUGAUAAGGACUAAUAUGGUGUAAGCUAUUCAAUAUCAGUCAAAUAUAUGUUAUGUAUGAUAAAUAUCAUAUAAAAAGAUAGUAUAAGCCUUUAUAUUGCACUUUCAUGCUAUCAUUGUAAACAUAGGGGUAAAUCAUGUUUGUUUUUGAAAUUUAAUCCUAAAGGGGGGCUGUGUUGGUCUAAAGCAUAGAGACUUUGCAUUUAGAUGUUUUAAAUCAUGAAUAUAUGGUAAAUAAUAGGUGCAUGUUUUAGAAAGACAUUUAUGACAAUGCUUGCUACUGUUUUGGUGUGAUGAACCAUGCCCAGAACUAGUAUACUGAAUGGACUACGACAAUAUACUUGCAUUUAGAUGUUUUAAAUCAUGAAUAUAUACUAACUGUUAUUAAAUUAUAUGAACUGUUAUGUGUUGCUUUACUAACUGUUGUAGUAUUAAAAUUCACUGCUAUGCUAUAUUGUUGUGUUGACUGAUUGCUAGCAUUACUAACAUCCUAAAUUUUUUAUUUAUAGAUGUCUUCUGAACCUGCAGCACGAAAGCGCGGGUUGGGUCGGGGCCCUAAUCAUGUGCCGAAGGCCCCGGCUAAUCCGGAUGAUCGCAUUCUUAUACAGAUCCGUCCUCCUCCAGAAAGCACGUAAGUUAAACAUCGUGUAUAUAUAAGGGUUUAAUAUUUCCAUUGUUAUAAAUAUAUAUGACUGUAAAUUAUUGAAUAUUGUAGUGAUUUUCAAGAUAGUAAAAUUGUGAACUGCAUUACACAAUUAUGCUUACAGAACUGGCCUACGCCAGUGAUUACAUGGGCGAGCACACCUCUUGCCCAUAAGGAUGCAGUUUGGGCUGAAUUUCAGGUAUAUUUUUUUAUCACUCUGAUAGAUAAUACAUAGUUAAUCAAAUAAUAUGGUUUAGUAAUGUUGGAUUAUGGUAUAGAUGGGACGACACACAGGCAUCAGUUAUUCAGACACUUCGUAUACUGGGCGGGCAUCUGCAUUCUCUUAGUCCUGAUGAGUUGGCGGAGGCAGUGGCGACAGCAGCAGCAUCACAGCAUCAGGGUGGCGACCAGGUAUAUAUAUCGAUAUUGUUACUGUCACUGCACAUACUUAUAUGUUUCACUACAUUGUCUAUUGUUUAGUUUUCCUAAGUCAUAGCAGUAUCAACACAUGUAACAUAUAUUUUUUAUUCUUUUGUUAAUUACAGGGUACUAAUUUGGAUGAUCCAUGAAGACCUAGCCCAGUCAUAUAUGUUAGAUUUUUAAAGCCUUGCUAGACUUGUUUUUUAAAUUGUUAAAGGCCUUGUACUCUUUUAGAUUCAUUCUUUGGACAAUUUUAUUGGUUUACGAUUCUAUUAUAUAGAUGUUUAUGAUUGUAUUGUGUUGUGUUGGUUUACGAUGGAUGUUUAUCAGUUAUCAUGGAU
This 2893-nucleotide long non-coding RNA is filed under the name Panax ginseng (ginseng). RNAcentral's name for it is "long non-coding RNA (PGIN_LNC015906)". The record is from RNAcentral. Lineage: Eukaryota; Viridiplantae; Streptophyta; Magnoliopsida; Apiales; Araliaceae.